This 468-nucleotide ribosomal RNA is filed under the name uncultured bacterium. RNAcentral describes it as "partial 16S ribosomal RNA". It matches the Rfam family "Bacterial small subunit ribosomal RNA", at positions 28 to 507 of the family's 1533-position model. The record is from RNAcentral.
GACGAACGCUGGCGGCGUGCUUAACACAUGCAAGUCGAACGGAAAGGCCCUGCUUUUGUGGGGUGCUCGAGUGGCGAACGGGUGAGUAACACGUGAGUAACCUGCCCUUGACUUUGGGAUAACUUCAGGAAACUGGGGCUAAUACCGGAUAGGAGCUCCUGCUGCAUGGUGGGGGUUGGAAAGUUUCGGCGGUUGGGGAUGGACUCGCGGCUUAUCAGCUUGUUGGUGGGGUAGUGGCUUACCAAGGCUUUGGCGGGUAGCCGGCCUGAGAGGGUGGCCGGCCACAUUGCGCCUGAGAUACGGCCCAGACUCGUACGGGAGGCAGCGGUGGGGAAUAUUGCACAAGGGGCGGAAGCCUGAUGCAGCCACGCCGCGUGCGGGAUGACGGCCUUCGGGUUGUAAACCGCUUCCGCCUGUGACGAAGCGUGAGUGACGGUAAUGGGUAAAGAAGCACCGGCUAACUACGUG